Molecule: long non-coding RNA, 936 nt
Organism: Homo sapiens (human)
Lineage: Eukaryota; Metazoa; Chordata; Mammalia; Primates; Hominidae
Product: long intergenic non-protein coding RNA 2173
Source: Ensembl
AGCUGAACCACAUUUGUGGUGAUGAAAGGUUUGGUCAGAAAAGGAGGCUGGGGUAAAACAGCAUCUAUUCUGUCAUUUGAAGAAUGGGAAGGAUUUUGCUAGAACAAGAGAGGGUGGGAAAAUAAGAAAGGAAAAUAGAACAUUUUAGGGAAAGGGAAUAGUGUGUGCAAAGAUGAAGAAGUAUAAAAGAAAAUGUAGCUUAUUCCAGAAACUGCUAAAAGGAUCAAUAUGGUGAGAAUAUCACAGUAGGUAAAUAUUAGAUUCCAAAAGUAUAUGAAAAAACAGCUGAGGAAUGUGAAACAUAGAGAAAAUUCUAUUUGUUAGCAGUUCUCCCCCUACUCCUGUGACCUGAAAAAAAUUCAAUACUUUCUGAAGCAUUUGGAUCCACUUAGCUAGUGGAAUACCAGCAUUUCAUGGGAAUAUAUGUAACUAGAACAACUAGUUAGGAGCCAACAUGGCCAUAUCUGGUUUUGGAACAAAGUUUAACAUGGAAUUACGCCUAUGACUACACCAGAGUUUGGACUGAAGGUGUUACAAGAGUUGCACUGUCGUGUCAUGAGAGAGCCACAAUUCUUCAAACAUAUUUAACUGCUGGAGAGAAUGGCUCAGAAUCCCAGGUAUCAGCUUCAGCACACAGAUAAAAUAUAAGAAAGAAUUUGAGGUUGAUGUCAGAAGCAUUUCCAACAGGGCUAAGGAAGUAUUUUUUUGGAAGAUCUCUUCUUGGCCCUUGACAGAAGAAGCAGAGUAACUUUUCUUAGGUGGCAUAAUUCUUCAAAAUGUGUUCAUUUUGAAGAACAGGGGUGAUGGAUGGUAAUACACAGGCAGGGAUCAACAGUCCCAGAACUGAAGGAAGAGUUGACAAAUGUAUCAAAGAUGCCUAAUCAAAAUGUGUCCACAUUCUGCUAAAUAAAUUCUGGUUGAGCAGAACUAACAAAA